CUAGACUCUUAAUUUACUCAGAAAACUGGGAGGGGGAGCUGGGUAGUUCAGUGGAUUGAGAACCAGACCAAGAGAUGAGAGGUCCUGGAUUAAAAUUUGGCCAUAGACACUUCUUAGCUGUGUGACCUUGGGCAAGUCACUUAACCCCCCAUUGCCUAGAAUUUGCCACUCUUCUGCCUUAGAAACAACACACAGUAUUAAUUCUAAGACAGAAGGUGAGGGUUUAAAAAAAAAGAAAACAAUGUGAGCUUCUUCUUUUCUCUGCUUUCUUUCUCUCUCUCUCUCUCUUUCUUUCUUUCUUUCUUUCUUUCUUUCUUUCUUUCUUUCUUUCUUUCUUUCUUUCUUUCUUUUCUUUUCUUUUCUUUUCUUUUCCUUCUUUCCCUUUCUGUCUCUUUUUUCUCUCUUGCUUUCUUUCUCCAGUGGAGCCUGAAUUAACAACAGCUCAAACCCCCUCCAGGUUUACAGUUGCACGGCUUAUUGUGUAUAUAUCCUCCAAAACCGAAAACCAUAUGGAGAAUUCGGCUUUCUUGAUUUUUUCCCUCUUUUCUGUGUGUACCAGGAAGUAGUAAAAUGUUUUGAGAUGCUAUUAAAGUCUUUAAGUUACAAAAUUGAGAUUCCACCUUAAAAAAUUUUCCAUACUGUACUUUGCAUUGCCUGGGG
Molecule: long non-coding RNA, 660 nt
Filed under: Monodelphis domestica (gray short-tailed opossum)
Lineage: Eukaryota; Metazoa; Chordata; Mammalia; Didelphimorphia; Didelphidae
Description: lncRNA (ENSMODG00000043472.1)
Source: RNAcentral